AACCUGGUUGAUCCUGGCAGUAGUCAUAUGCUUGUUUUAAAGAUUAAGCCAUGCAUGUCUAAGUAUAAGCAAAAAUAGAGCAAAACUGCAAAUGGCUCAUUAAAACAGUUAUGGUUUACUUGAUAAUAGUUUUUACACGGAUAACUGUGGUAAUUCUACAGCUAAUACAUGAGCAAAAUCUCAACUUUAUUAGAAGAGACGCAUUUAUUAGAUAAAAAGGCAAUGCAUGUUUUUACAGUAUAGAAAUUGGUGAUUUAUAAUAACUUAGCAAAUCGCAAAAUGAAAACAGGCGAUAAAUCAUUCAAGUUUCUGACCUAUCAGCUUUCGACGGUAUGGUAUUGGCUUACCGUGGCAGUGACGGUUAACGGGGGAUUAGGGUUCGAUUCCGGAGAGGGAGCCUGGGAAACGGCUACCACAUCUAAGGAAGGCAGCAGGCGCGCAAAUUACCCAAUUCUAACAGUUUGAGAGAGGUAGUAACAAGAAAUAACAAUACAAGGCAAUUAAAAUGCUUUGUAAUUGGAAUGAUAGAAAUUUAAACCUUUUUUAAAGUAUCAAUUGGAGGGCAAGUCUGGUGCCAGCAGCCGCGGUAAUUCCAGCUCCAAUAGCGUAUAUUAAAAUUGUUGCAGUUAAAAAGCUCGUAGUUGAAGUUCUGCUAAAAGUAACCGGUCUGCUUUUAAUAAAAGUGGUAUCUUGGUGUGUAUUUAGCAAUGAUGUCCUUUGAAGUGUUUUUUACUUUAUUGUAAUAAAGCAUAUUCAGGACUUUUACUUUGAGAAAAUUAGAGUGUUUCUAGCAGGCCGACGCUUUGAAUACUGCAGCAUGGAAUAAUAAGAUAGGAUUUUAGUUCUACAUUAUUGGUUUUAAGAGCUAAAUUAAUGAUUGAUAGGGACAGUUGGGGGCAUUUGUAUUUAACUGUCAGAGGUGAAAUUCUUAGAUUUGUUAAAGACAAACUACUGCGAAAGCAUUUGCCAAAGAUGUUUUCAUUAAUCAAGAACGAAAGUUAGGGGAUCGAAGACGAUCAGAUACCGUCGUAGUCUUAACUAUAAACUAUGCCGACUAGAGAUUGGAGGUCGUCUUUAUAAACGAUUCCUUCAGCACCCUACUUACGAGAAAUCAAAGUCUUUGGGUUCUGGGGGGAGUAUGGUCGCAAGGCUGAAACUUAAAGGAAUUGACGGAAGGGCACCACAAGGCGUGGAGCCUGCAGCUUAAUUUGACUCAAUCUUGGUGUGUAUUUAGAGCAGGUUAAGGUCUCGUUCGUUAACGGAAUUAACCAGACAAAUCACUUCACCAGGUCCAGACAUAGAAAGGAUUGACAGGUUGAUAGCUCUUUCUUAAUUCUAUUGAUGGUGGUGCAUGGUCGUUCUUAGUUGGUGGAGUGAUUUUUCUGGUUAAUUCCGUUAACGAACCAGACCUUAACCUGCUAAAUAGGGUGAAAAGCUUUUGUUUUAAAAUUACUUCUUAGAAGGACUUUUCGUGUCUAACGCGAAGAAGUUUGAGGCAAUAACAGGUCUGUGAUGCCCUUAGAUGUUCUGGGCUGCACGCGCGCUACAAUGAUGCAUCCAACAAGUUUAUAACCUUAGCUGGUAAUCUUGGGCAAUCUUUUGAAUAUGCAUCGUGAUGGGAAUAGAUUAUUGUAAUUAUUAAUCUUUAACGAGGAAUGCCUAGUAAGCGCGAGUCAUCAGCUUGCGCUGAUUACGUUCCUGCCCUUUGUACACACCGCCCGUCGCUCCUACUGAUUGAGUGAUCCGGUAAAUUAUUUAGACUGUAUUUAUAGCAGUUUCUGUGUUAAAUAUAGAAAGUUUUGUAAAUCUUAUCACUUAGAGGAAGGAGAAGUCGUAACAAGGUUUCCGUAGGUGAACCUGCGGAAGGAUCAUUC
This 1874-nucleotide ribosomal RNA is filed under the name Hepatozoon canis. Its description in RNAcentral is "SSU rRNA". It matches the Rfam family "Eukaryotic small subunit ribosomal RNA". Lineage: Eukaryota; Apicomplexa; Hepatozoidae. The record is from RNAcentral.